UACGUAGGGUGCGAGCGUUAAUCGGAAUUACUGGGCGUAAAGCGUGCGCAGGCGGUUCGCUAAGACCGAUGUGAAAUCCCCGGGCUUAACCUGGGAACUGCAUUGGUGACUGGCGAGCUAGAGUGUGGCAGAGGGGGGUAGAAUUCCACGUGUAGCAGUGAAAUGCGUAGAGAUGUGGAGGAAUACCGAUGGCGAAGGCAGCCCCCUGGGCUAACACUGACGCUCAUGCACGAAAGCGUGGGGAGCAAACAGG
RNAcentral lists this ribosomal RNA (253 nucleotides) under uncultured bacterium. RNAcentral's name for it is "partial 16S ribosomal RNA". It matches the Rfam family "Bacterial small subunit ribosomal RNA", at positions 524 to 776 of the family's 1533-position model. RNAcentral also lists the same sequence under 1 other name. The record is from RNAcentral.